CUGAUGGUCCUGAAGAUUGAAAUUCUCAGUUUAUCUACAGAACAGGUACAGUACAGCACAGGCAAAAAUCAUUCAAUAUACCCCAUCAUCCCUGACCAGGAACGACCACUUCUAAGAUAUGAAGAAGGCAAAAGUUUCAUUUCUAUUCAGUCCUUCCCUAUU
Molecule: small RNA, 162 nt
Filed under: Gopherus agassizii (Agassiz's desert tortoise)
Lineage: Eukaryota; Metazoa; Chordata; Testudines; Testudinidae
Description: TUC338 (ENSGAGG00000004863.1)
Source: RNAcentral